GAUGAACGCUGGCGGCGUGCCUAAUACAUGCAAGUCGAGCGAACGGACGAGAAGCUUGCUUCUCUGAUGUUAGCGGCGGACGGGUGAGUAACACGUGGAUAACCUACCUAUAAGACUGGGAUAACUUCGGGAAACCGGAGCUAAUACCGGAUAAUAUUUUGAACCGCAUGGUUCAAAAGUGAAAGACGGUCUUGCUGUCACUUAUAGAUGGAUCCGCGCUGCAUUAGCUAGUUGGUAAGGUAACGGCUUACCAAGGCAACGAUGCAUAGCCGACCUGAGAGGGUGAUCGGCCACACUGGAACUGAGACACGGUCCAGACUCCUACGGGAGGCAGCAGUAGGGAAUCUUCCGCAAUGGGCGAAAGCCUGACGGAGCAACGCCGCGUGAGUGAUGAAGGUCUUCGGAUCGUAAAACUCUGUUAUUAGGGAAGAACAUAUGUGUAAGUAACUGUGCACAUCUUGACGGUACCUAAUCAGAAAGCCACGGCUAACUACGUGCCAGCAGCCGCGGUAAUACGUAGGUGGCAAGCGUUAUCCGGAAUUUAUGGGCGUAAAGCGCGCGUAGGCGGUUUUUUAAGUCUGAUGUGAAAGCCCACGGCUCAACCGUGGAGGGUCAUUGGAAACUGGAAAACUUGAGUGCAGAAGAGGAAAGUGGAAUUCCAUGUGUAGCGGUGAAAUGCGCAGAGAUAUGGAGGAACACCAGUGGCGAAGGCGACUUUCUGGUCUGUAACUGACGCUGAUGUGCGAAAGCGUGGGGAUCAAACAGGAUUAGAUACCCUGGUAGUCCACGCCGUAAACGAUGAGUGCUAAGUGUUAGGGGGUUUCCGCCCCUUAGUGCUGCAGCUAACGCAUUAAGCACUCCGCCUGGGGAGUACGACCGCAAGGUUGAAACUCAAAGGAAUUGACGGGGACCCGCACAAGCGGUGGAGCAUGUGGUUUAAUUCGAAGCAACGCGAAGAACCUUACCAAAUCUUGACAUCCUUUGACAACUCUAGAGAUAGAGCCUUCCCCUUCGGGGGACAAAGUGACAGGUGGUGCAUGGUUGUCGUCAGCUCGUGUCGUGAGAUGUUGGGUUAAGUCCCGCAACGAGCGCAACCCUUAAGCUUAGUUGCCAUCAUUAAGUUGGGCACUCUAAGUUGACUGCCGGUGACAAACCGGAGGAAGGUGGGGAUGACGUCAAAUCAUCAUGCCCCUUAUGAUUUGGGCUACACACGUGCUACAAUGGACAAUACAAAGGGCAGCGAAACCGUGAGGUCAAGCAAAUCCCAUAAAGUUGUUCUCAGUUCGGAUUGUAGUCUGCAACUCGACUACAUGAAGCUGGAAUCGCUAGUAAUCGUAGAUCAGCAUGCUACGGUGAAUACGUUCCCGGGUCU
RNAcentral lists this ribosomal RNA (1372 nucleotides) under uncultured bacterium. RNAcentral's name for it is "bacterial SSU rRNA". It matches the Rfam family "Bacterial small subunit ribosomal RNA", at positions 28 to 1381 of the family's 1533-position model. The record is from RNAcentral.